AACGCAUCUUGCGCUCCUUGGUAUUCCGAGGAGCAUGCCUGUUUGAGUGUCAUUUGACUUCUCUCAACCACAUCAUUUAAUUUUGAUGUGGCUUGGAUGUGGGGGGAUUGCAGGCUUCUUUAAGUCUGCUCCUCUGAAAUGCAUUAGUGGUAUCUGAGCUGCUAUUGGUGUGAUAAAUUAUCUAUGCCUAUGGUACUGCUGGUCAGCACUGCUCAUAACAAUGUUAUUUGACAAAUUUGACCUCAAAUCAGGUAGGACUACCCGCUGAACUUAA
RNAcentral lists this unclassified non-coding RNA (274 nucleotides) under Cladophialophora sp. Its description in RNAcentral is "partial contains 5.8S ribosomal RNA, internal transcribed spacer 2, and large subunit ribosomal RNA". The stretch from base 1 to 52 matches the Rfam family "5.8S ribosomal RNA", at positions 103 to 154 of the family's 154-position model. Lineage: Eukaryota; Fungi; Ascomycota; Eurotiomycetes; Chaetothyriales; Herpotrichiellaceae. The record is from RNAcentral.